Condylura cristata (star-nosed mole) is the source of this 420-nucleotide non-coding RNA. The record is from the annotation of a RefSeq genome assembly. Lineage: Eukaryota; Metazoa; Chordata; Mammalia; Eulipotyphla; Talpidae.
AUGCAGCCGUCCUCGGCAUACGGGGCCCUGGGCCAGAGCGUGGUCAUCUCCUGCACUGGCAGCGGCCCCAACAUCGGAGCUGAGAGUAACAAGCGGCCCCCAGGCGUCCCUGAUUGGUUCUCGGGCGCUGUGUCUGGCACCUCGGGCUCGCUGGCCAUGGCAGGGCUCCAGCCCUAGGACAAGGCUGAGUACCUCUGCCAGUCACAAAACAGCAAGUGGGGCCAGACACGGGGCUCCGGGCCUGUGGGGAAGCGAGGCAAGAACCCACAGAUGGGCCUCCUGCACGCCUCCCAGCACAGCUGCUCAGGGGGACAGUGCUGGGUGUACAUGCAUGGGCAGCGCCUCCCUCUGCGCCAGCAGGAGGGGAUAGGAGAAUUAUGGGCAGCCCGUUCCAGCCUGCAGGGAAGCAAGGGGCUGUGA